GUAGCUCGCUGGGCUCAUAACCCAGAGGUCGCAGGUUCAAAUCCUGUC
Transfer RNA from Streptomyces sp. 150FB, 48 nucleotides. It matches the Rfam family "tRNA", at positions 7 to 64 of the family's 71-position model. From Rfam's summary of the family: Transfer RNA (tRNA) molecules are approximately 80 nucleotides in length. Their secondary structure includes four short double-helical elements and three loops (D, anti-codon, and T loops). NCBI's taxonomy places the organism in Bacteria, Bacillati, Actinomycetota, Actinomycetes, Kitasatosporales, Streptomycetaceae. The record is from Rfam.